UACAGAGGGUGCAAGCGUUGCUCGGAAUUAUUGGGCGUAAAGGGUAGGUAGGUGGUCUCGUUUGUCUGGGGUGAAAGCCUUGAGCUUAACUCAAGAAGUGCCUCGGAAACGGCGAGACUAGAGUCUUGGAGAGGGUCGUGGAAUUCCCGGUGUAGCGGUGAAAUGCGUAGAGAUCGGGAGGAACACCAGCGGCGAAGGCGGCGACCUGGACAAGUACUGACACUCAACUACGAAAGCGUGGGGAGCAAACAGG
RNAcentral lists this ribosomal RNA (253 nucleotides) under uncultured bacterium. RNAcentral describes it as "partial 16S ribosomal RNA". It matches the Rfam family "Bacterial small subunit ribosomal RNA", at positions 524 to 776 of the family's 1533-position model. The record is from RNAcentral.